CUCGUAGGUGGUUUGUCGCGUUGUCCGUGAAAACUCACAGCUUAACUGUGGGCGUGCGGGCGAUACGGGCAGACUAGAGUACUGCAGGGGAGACUGGAAUUCCUGGUGUAGCGGUGGAAUGCGCAGAUAUCAGGAGGAACACCGGUGGCGAAGGCGGGUCUCUGGGCAGUAACUGACGCUGAGGAGCGAAAGCGUGGGGAGCAAACA
This 207-nucleotide ribosomal RNA is filed under the name uncultured bacterium. RNAcentral describes it as "partial 16S ribosomal RNA". It matches the Rfam family "Bacterial small subunit ribosomal RNA", at positions 568 to 774 of the family's 1533-position model. The record is from RNAcentral.